RNAcentral lists this long non-coding RNA (2370 nucleotides) under Salmo salar (Atlantic salmon). Its description in RNAcentral is "lncRNA (ENSSSAG00000100146.1, ENSSSAG00075061919.1)". Lineage: Eukaryota; Metazoa; Chordata; Actinopteri; Salmoniformes; Salmonidae. The record is from RNAcentral.
CUCUAUUGACCAGACGAGACGUAGUAUGGGGCAGGAGCAGUGGCAGAUGCGUGUGUGCUGUGGACUGGGCCAUAGUUUGACUCUGCGCCCCUUACCCAAAAAUGUUAAACCGAGGGCAAGUCCUCAAGAGUUAUUGUAUCCCACAGAGCCCUACGGCAGUGGCCUUAUACACCUGACUGAGGAAGAAGAGAUAAUCAUUAGGAGACAGUUGUCUAAUAGCAUGCAUCCAAGAAGCUUUGGACGAAGGACUUCCACAGAGCCGCCACCCUCAAAAAGACAAUAGUUCUGUACUGGGUUUGAUUUAGUUUUUGUUGUUUUAAAUAUUUACAUUUUGUAAAUGAACUUUUAAUCUCGUCUUCACAAGAAUGUUUAUGAUUUCAAGUUGUAUUGGAUUUAUUUUUUAUCUGAUAAGACAUUGAAUGCAGUACAUGUUGUUUAGUAUAUUUAGUACAUUAAGUAUGUUUAGUUCUCUGUGAGAAGCAAGUUCAUUUAAAGUUAAAUGUGAUUUGGUUCAUGUAGAUACAACAUGUCAAUGUUGUUAAUACCCAGAAACUUGAUUUUAAUCUGCAUAUUCAUACUGAAUUUGCCACAACUAUUUGCCAGAAGCCUGUUUUUUCGGUAAGGGUAGGGUUUGUUUUGAAUUAUUUAAAUUUCUAUUCCUAUAUUUCCAGUAUAGCUAGGAUGUCUGUCUGAAUAGUGACAAGAUCAGCCUGAAAGUCUGAAUUUGCAUUUGUUGAAUUGUUGGGGAUAAUAUUGAAUUGGGAAUUUAAUUAUUGGAAUUAUCUAACAUUGGAAUUCAAAGGAACUGAAUUACUGUACAUCUGAAUUCAAAGACUGACCUGGAAUUUGAAUUGAAUUAAAUGGAAUUUACAGGGAGAGAGAAUUUAAUUAUAAUUUAAUUAGUGGAAUUGACCCCGACCCUGGUGUUAGGUUUAUCCCUAAACGUCCUUUGCCACCAGUUUAAACAAAUCAUAAAUUCAUCUAAUUUGCAUGUCUGGUUACUGAGGUUAAACAAUUUCCCUCAAGGGUACAACACCAGUACUCCAACCCAGAAUCUCUACUCCUCUCAGUUACAUUCUGAGCCUAAUCUUUGCCCUCCAGUCAAGACCACCCCACUUCUGAUGCAAUAGGGGUUCAAUCUGUCCUCUCAUGGCACUGGCUUGCGAGAUAACUGAUGGCUGAACUGAUGGAGCUCAUUGGAUUGCAUAGGAUUGUGUCUAUCAUGUGUUGGAUAUUAGGGCAGCCUGGCAAGAGGUGAGGGUGCCAGCUGUUGGGUCUUGUGAUCCUGAUUAGAUUGUUGUUUCAGUGUUGAUUGUGUCUAGGAGCAGAGGUGACCUGGGGCUGGGGAGGGAAAAGAUGAUCACCCUUGUGAUCACCCUCCUUUCGCACCCAAACACCUCGCGGAGCUCAACCGUUCGCCAGCUGAUCUUUUGAAGGAUCUCUCUCUCUUUCUGUCUGCAUUGCCUCUCUUUUAACGUCUUGUGUGUCCUUGGUGGUACCUCUCUUUCCCUCUCCUCUCCCCUUUCUGUUUGUAUCUGUCCCUUUUUCUGUCUCUCUCUCGUUUUCUCUUUUUCUCUCUCUCUGCUAUAAGUUAAAGGAGUGAAGGAGUGUUUUAUGCAUCAGUCAUGCUUCAGUACCAGUGAGUGAUUAAAGGAAAGUAUAUGGGCCACAUUGUGAAGUUACAAAGUGGGUGUGAUUCUCCACUUCAACUGCCAGCUUCAAUUCAUUUCUGCAGAGUUGAUUUGGACUGAAAUGACACUUUGUGUGUUGGUUGGUCAGUUUCCAGAAUUGGUUUUGAUUAAGUAAGUACCCAAUGAUGGGGCACAUAGCAAUCUAAUAGUGCUUGUAAUGAAAGUGCAUUUCAAAAGUUAAGGGAUGGCAAAAUGAGUAUGAUGGUGUGUGUGGAGGCUAUAACAUUAAGUGUAACCUAACAAGAAAAUAGUCACAUUGGGUAUAGGAAUAAUAACAAUGUUUGCCUCAGCAUAUUAUGCUGGCGUUGUGAUCUGGUGAGCAGAGGACAAAAUAGGAAAUGUUGAGUUUGUAAAAGAUGUUGUCAAACCUGAUUUUGUUUCCGUCAAAUUGAGUUAGUGAGUGACUAAGCAGAAAAUAUAUAUAUAUUUUUUUUAACUAUAUUUUGGUAUUUUGUUAAUUAGUCCGAUGUUGAAAAACGCAUCAUCAUGUUGUGGCAAAUGACACUUUGCUUCUUGAAAGUCCAAUGUCUUAAACUUGACUACUGACAUGGAAAACAUUUUGUGGGCUAAUAAAAAAAUACCAAAAGAUUGUUUUUUUGUGGAUUUUUCCAUUAACCUUUAGGAUGAGUUGUUGCAAUUUGCUGCCAAAAGCUGCCCAACUGAUCCUUCGCUAAACCCC